RNAcentral lists this ribosomal RNA (465 nucleotides) under uncultured bacterium. RNAcentral describes it as "partial 16S ribosomal RNA". It matches the Rfam family "Bacterial small subunit ribosomal RNA", at positions 339 to 795 of the family's 1533-position model. The record is from RNAcentral.
CUACGGGUCGCAGCAGUGAGGAAUUUUGCGCAAUGGGGGAAACCCUGACGCAGCAACGCCGCGUGAGCGAAGAAGGCCCUUGGGUCGCAAAGCUCUGUCAAUGGGGAAGAAGUUACUUGGUAUUAAUAGUGCCUUGUAUUGACGGUACCCAUGAAGGAAGCACCGGCUAACUCCGUGCCAGCAGCCGCGGUAAUACGGGGGGUGCAAGCGUUAUUCGGAAUUAUUGGGCGUAAAGGGCACGCAGGCGGUCCUGUCAGUCGGAUGUGAAAGCCCAGGGCUCAACCCUGGACGUGCAUUUGAAACAGCAGGACUUGAGUACGGGAGAGGAAAGGGGAAUUCCUGGUGUAGAGGUGAAAUUCGUAGAUAUCAGGAGGAACACCGGUGGCGAAGGCGCCUUUCUGGACCGAUACUGACGCUGAGGUGCGAAGGCGUGGGUAGCGAACGGGAUUAGAUACCCCUGUAGUC